GCAGUCGACGCUGAAGCCUGGUGCUUGCACCGGGUGGAUGAGUGGCGAACGGGUGAGUAACACGUGAGUAACCUGCCCCUGACUUCGGGAUAAGCCCGGGAAACUGGGUCUAAUACCGGAUACGACCGUCGGACGCAUGUCUGGUGGUGGAAAGUUUUUUCGGUUGGGGAUGGGCUCGCGGCCUAUCAGUUUGUUGGUGAGGUAAUGGCUCACCAAGACGACGACGGGUAGCCGGCCUGAGAGGGCGACCGGCCACACUGGGACUGAGACACGGCCCAGACUCCUACGGGAGGCAGCAGUGGGGAAUAUUGCACAAUGGGGGAAACCCUGAUGCAGCGACGCAGCGUGCGGGAUGACGGCCUUCGGGUUGUAAACCGCUUUCAGCAGGGAAGAAGCGCAAGUGACGGUACCUGCAGAAGAAGUACCGGCUAACUACGUGCCAGCAGCCGCGGUAAUACGUAGGGUACGAGCGUUGUCCGGAAUUAUUGGGCGUAAAGAGCUCGUAGGUGGUUGGUCACGUCUGCUGUGGAAACGCAACGCUUAACGUUGCGCGUGCAGUGGGUACGGGCUGACUAGAGUGCAGUAGGGGAGUCUGGAAUUCCUGGUGUAGCGGUGAAAUGCGCAGAUAUCAGGAGGAACACCGGUGGCGAAGGCGGGACUCUGGGCUGUAACUGACACUGAGGAGCGAAAGCAUGGGGAGCGAACAGGAUUAGAUACCCUGGUAGUCCAUGCCGUAAACGUUGGGCACUAGGUGUGGGGGGCAUUCCACGUUCUCCGCGCCGUAGCUAACGCAUUAAGUGCCCCGCCUGGGGAGUACGGUCGCAAGGCUAAAACUCAAAGGAAUUGACGGGGGCCCGCACAAGCGGCGGAGCAUGCGGAUUAAUUCGAUGCAACGCGAAGAACCUUACCAAGGCUUGACAUACACCAGACCGUCCUGGAAACAGGUCCUCUUCUUUGAAGCUGGUGUACAGGUGGUGCAUGGUUGUCGUCAGCUCGUGUCGUGAGAUGUUGGGGUUAAGUCCCGCAACGAGCGCAACCCUCGUUCUAUGUUGCCAGCACGUGGAUGGUGGGAACUCAUAGGAGACUGCCGGGGUCACUCGGAGGAAAAGGUGGGGAUGACGUCAAAUCAUCAUGGCCCUU
This 1140-nucleotide ribosomal RNA is filed under the name uncultured bacterium. RNAcentral's name for it is "bacterial SSU rRNA". It matches the Rfam family "Bacterial small subunit ribosomal RNA", at positions 57 to 1203 of the family's 1533-position model. The record is from RNAcentral.